RNAcentral lists this non-coding RNA (177 nucleotides) under SAR324 cluster bacterium. RNAcentral describes it as "6S RNA". It matches the Rfam family "6S / SsrS RNA". Rfam says of the family: E. coli 6S RNA was the first non coding RNA to be sequenced, but its function was unknown until recently. It consists of 184 nucleotides that fold into an extended hairpin structure with a large single-stranded internal bulge. Lineage: Bacteria; Deltaproteobacteria. The record is from RNAcentral.
ACACUCCUGCGGUGUUCGAGAAGCUGAGUUUUUUGCGCCUGGUAAUCCCCAAACGGGAUCCAGUCCCUGAGGGAUGUGUGCGAUCCCGGCCUCGCCGGGAACCCUGAUUCCUUCAAACCGGAGCCCACCUGCACUUGCAGGUCCAAAAAAACAGCAACCGGCACAGGCGGGAGUGUC